UACAGAGGGUGCAAGCGUUGUUCGAAAUUAUUGGGCGUAAAGCGCGUGUAGGCGGCUUUGCAAGUCGGGUGUGAAAGCCCUCAGCUCAACUGAGGAAGUGCGCCCGAAACUGCAGAGCUUGAGUGCCGGAGAGGGUGGCGGAAUUCCCCAAGUAGAGGUGAAAUUCGUAGAUAUGGGGAGGAACACCGGUGGCGAAGGCGGCCACCUGGACGGUAACUGACGCUGAGACGCGAAAGCGUGGGGAGCAAACAGG
RNAcentral lists this ribosomal RNA (253 nucleotides) under uncultured bacterium. RNAcentral describes it as "partial 16S ribosomal RNA". It matches the Rfam family "Bacterial small subunit ribosomal RNA", at positions 524 to 776 of the family's 1533-position model. The record is from RNAcentral.